GAGUUGCGAACGGGUGAGUAACGCGUAGGUAACCUGCCUGGUAGUGGGGGAUAACUAUUGGAAACGAUAGCUAAUACCGCAUAAUAGCAGUUGUUGCAUGACAACUGUUUGAAAGGUGCAAUUGCAUCACUACCAGAUGGACCUGCGUUGUAUUAGCUAGUUGGUGGGGUAACGGCUCACCAAGGCGACGAUACAUAGCCGACCUGAGAGGGUGAUCGGCCACACUGGGACUGAGACACGGCCCGGACUCC
Molecule: ribosomal RNA, 251 nt
Filed under: uncultured Streptococcus sp.
Lineage: Bacteria; Bacillati; Bacillota; Bacilli; Lactobacillales; Streptococcaceae
Description: partial 16S ribosomal RNA
Rfam family: Bacterial small subunit ribosomal RNA
Source: RNAcentral